AGUGAAUAGAUACCCAGGUAGUCCACGCCCUAAACGAUGAAUGCUAGUCGUCGGGGUACUCGUUACUUCGGUGAUGCACUUAAACAGAUUAAGCAUUCCGCCUGGGGAGUACGGUCGCAAGAUUAAAACUCAAAGGAAUAGACGGGGACCCGCACAAGUGGUGGAGCAUGUGGUUUAAUUCGAAGAUACACGAAGAACCUUACCUGGCCUUGACAUGGUAGGAACCCUUAAGAGAUUAGGGGGUGCUAGCUUGCUAGAACCUACACACAAGUGCUGCACGGCUGUCGUCAGCUCGUGUCGUGAGAUGUUGGGUUAAGUCCCGCAACGAGCGCAACCCUCGUCGUUAGUUGCUAACAGUUCGGCUGAGCACUCUAACGAGACUGCCUUCGCAAGGAGGAGAAGGUGAGGACGACGUCAAGUCAUCAUGGCCCUUACGGCCAGGGCUACACACGUGCUACAAUGGGGCGUAC
RNAcentral lists this ribosomal RNA (470 nucleotides) under uncultured bacterium. Its description in RNAcentral is "bacterial SSU rRNA". It matches the Rfam family "Bacterial small subunit ribosomal RNA", at positions 773 to 1240 of the family's 1533-position model. The record is from RNAcentral.